This 550-nucleotide ribosomal RNA is filed under the name uncultured bacterium. Its description in RNAcentral is "bacterial SSU rRNA". It matches the Rfam family "Bacterial small subunit ribosomal RNA", at positions 767 to 1335 of the family's 1533-position model. The record is from RNAcentral.
AGCUAAUAGAUACCCGGGUAGUCCACGCCGUAAACGAUGGAUGCUAGCUGUUAGAGGUAUCGACCCCUCUAGUAGCGAAAGCUAACGCGUUAAGCAUCCCGCCUGUGGAGUACGGUCGCAAGACUAAAACAUAAAGGAAUUGACGGGGACCCGCACAAGCGGUGGAGCGUGUUGUUUAAUUCGAUGGUAAGCGAAGAACCUUACCCAGGCUUGACAUCCUUGGAACCUCGGCGAAAGUCGAGGGUGCCUUCGGGAACCAAGUGACAGGUGAUGCAUGGCCGUCGUCAGCUCGUGUCGUGAGAUGUUUGGUUAAGUCCAUCAACGAGCGCAACCCCUAUAGUUAGUUGGAUUUUUCUAGCUAGACUGCCCUGGUAACAGGGAGGAAGGAGGGGAUGAUGUCAGGUCAGUAUUUCCCUUACGUCUGGGGCUACAAACACGCUACAAUGGCCGGUACAAAGGGCAGCCAAGUCGCGAGACGGAGCAAAUCCCAUCAAAGCCGGUCCAAGUUCGGAUAGCAGGCUGAAACUCGCCUGCUUGAAGUCGGAAUCGC